CGCGCUUCGCGUGUAGAAGCGUCCGGGUGGCGGAGGCCGCAGGCCGCAGGAGUGCUGGUGGAGGGGCUUCCAGAAAGACCCUGCGGCAGCGCCCCCCCUCGGCUCUCCCCGCAGGAGAGCGGGCACCUGCGCGGCGCCGGGUGAAGGCGAGAGCCUCGGCGAGCCCUCUGCAGCGGAGCCCCCUGCCCAUUUGGUUUUGGCCAGUCAGCCUGGAAAUCUGCCUGUAGUCAGCUGAUGCAGAGUCACCCUGCAGUUCCUACUUUGAGGGGUUGCAGAAGCACAUAUUUCACUAUGGAGGGCCGCCUGCAGGCCUCGCGCUGACAGGAUCUUUUGUGACGCUGCAAAUGUCCUGAACCACCGGGAGGAACUGGGCCAUUCUAACACCCGUUGCUACCAUGCUGGCCACCCGCCUCUCCAGACCCCUGUCACGGCUCCCAGGAAAAACCCUAAGUGCCUGUGAUAGAGAAAAUGGAGCAAGACGCCCACUAUUGCUUGGUUCUACUUCCUUUAUCCCGAUUGGCCGUCGGACUUAUGCCAGUGCGGCGGAGCCGGUUGGCAGCAAAGCUGUCCUGGUCACAGGCUGUGACUCUGGAUUUGGGUUCUCAUUGGCCAAGCAUCUGCAUUCAAAAGGCUUCCUUGUGUUUGCUGGCUGCUUGAUGAAGCUUUGAAGCACCCACUGAGUGGGCGGAUCAUAAUUUACUUCAUCAAAAUCUCCUGUAAAUGAGCAUUUAGGUGUUUUCAAUAUUUUGCAAUUACAAAUAAUGCCACAAUGAAUA
RNAcentral lists this unclassified non-coding RNA (776 nucleotides) under Homo sapiens (human). RNAcentral's name for it is "3-hydroxybutyrate dehydrogenase 1 (ENSG00000275544.4)". The record is from RNAcentral. Lineage: Eukaryota; Metazoa; Chordata; Mammalia; Primates; Hominidae.